RNAcentral lists this ribosomal RNA (468 nucleotides) under uncultured bacterium. RNAcentral's name for it is "partial 16S ribosomal RNA". It matches the Rfam family "Bacterial small subunit ribosomal RNA", at positions 28 to 507 of the family's 1533-position model. The record is from RNAcentral.
GACGAACGCUGGCGGCGUGCUUAACACAUGCAAGUCGAACGGAAAGGCCCUGCUUUUGUGGGGUGCUCGAGAGGCGAACGGGUGAGUAACACGUGAGUAACAUGCACUUGACUGUGGGAUAACUUCAGGAAACUGGGGCUAAUACCGGAUAGGAGCUCCUGCUGCAUGGGGUGGGUUGGAAAGUUUCGGCGGUUGGGGAUGGACUCGCGGCUUAUCAGCUUGUUGGUGGGGUAGUGGCUUACCAAGGCUUUGACGGGUAGCCGGCCUGAGAGGGUGACCGGCCACCUUGGGACUGCGGUACGGCCCAGACUCCUACGGGCGGCAGCAGUGGGGAAUAUUGCACAGUGGGCGGACGCGUGAUGCAGCAACGCCGCGUGCGUGAUGACGGCCUUCGGGUUGUAAACCGCUUUCGCAUGUGACGAAGCGUGAGUGACGGUAAUGGGUAAAGAAGCACCGGCUAACUACGUG